This is a long non-coding RNA of Hemicordylus capensis (graceful crag lizard), 1435 nucleotides long. RefSeq lists it as uncharacterized. The transcript is spliced from 3 exons. The record is from RefSeq and is a predicted model, not a curated record. NCBI's taxonomy places the organism in Eukaryota, Metazoa, Chordata, Lepidosauria, Squamata, Cordylidae.
AAUACAGAGGGGAAGAGCGAGUGGAGAGAGAAAGAGAGAGAAAGCAGGGAAGGGGAGAGAGAAAGAAGGAAGGGUGAGGGACAGGCCCGAGCCUGUCAGCGGCCUGAGGGGAAUGAGUGGCCAUGGUGGUGGUGGCAGUGAGAAGGCGCCUGGUCAACUGCUGCUGCUGCUGCUCCUGUGGGGAGGAGCAGGAGUGGGGUUCAGGCAAGGGUGGAGAGAUCUCUGGGGAUAGGGGGCUGCAGCUUGGCCAAUAGAUGCCAGCAACGCUGCAGCCACAACCAAGAGGGGUGAGGGGGAUGGACUAAAGUCAUGGAGGAGUGACCAAGAGGGGUGUGGGAGAUGGAAGCAACCGGAUGGAGGAGGAAGAGCAGGAGUACAGCUCAGAUUCUGGGCUGAUUCAGAUGAACACAACCCAUCUCAUGUGUUAAGGUGCAGCAUGCCAGGUGGACAAUCUUGACACCAUUUCUAGAGUGUGACAAAGAGAGAGAUAUCAGGAAUUGUUUUAUAUGUGUGUUGGGAUUCCUGUAAGUUAAAUGCACUAACCAGUGCUGACCUCCAUGAUGAAAAACAUCUGAUACUGAGUGCAGAAAUAUUGGUACGCCACCAGAUGUACAGGUAUGCUCCAUGUAAAUGAAAUUUAUUCUUGAGUUGUGAUAUUUGAGAGUGUUUCACAGGGCUUUAAAAUUACAAGUUGAAUGCAUAGCAAAAGCAAACAAAAUUAUGCCAGCUUGUUCAGCAGAAGGGAUGAUGCUAAUUUUCAGUUUUGCUCGAUGAAAAACUUUUAGGCAUGUAGAAGAAUAUGGAACUAUGGAACUUGUGAAGAUUCUAAUUCUGGAGACAGAGACAACAAGAAGGGCCCACAGUUUGCUUGUGCGAACAUCUUUUUUAUGAUCUGUUGGAAACCUAUGGGGGAGUGGUUUUAUUUCUUACUCAUGCAAUAUCACUAACAGACAGUUUUAUUAACUUUUGCAGAACGUUGAUAACUUUUGCAGAAUCCUUUUGCAGAAUCCUGAAGUCAAAAAGUUCUUUUGGAGGGACAGAGAGCAGUAAUAAUCGCUCCCCUCCCCCUCUUCCCAUAUUUCCCUGCCCGACAACAGGCUGCGCAGAGCUAUGAUGCUGAGUCUUCCAUUGAUAUGGCUCCUGUUAUGUAGUUCUAACACUAUGCAGAGUGUCAGACUUUAUCAUUGCAGAUAUUCUACAACCUUUGAUUCACUUAGCCUUACCAAGUGUAUAGUAUAGGAGAAAAGCAAGUAUUCCAGUUUUACAGAUGAAAAAAUGAGACCCAAUGAUAAUUAUUAACCAACGCUGUCCAAAGAGGAAACUGACAAAAGCUGAAACCAGAUGCACACUUCCAGGUACAUUUACCUGGAAGUAAGACCCUGUGAACACUGUGGAUGACAUACUGCACAAUAUUCUAUCUGGCUUCUAACAGAAC